RNAcentral lists this transfer RNA (69 nucleotides) under Loripes lacteus. RNAcentral's name for it is "tRNA-Met". It matches the Rfam family "tRNA". From Rfam's summary of the family: Transfer RNA (tRNA) molecules are approximately 80 nucleotides in length. Their secondary structure includes four short double-helical elements and three loops (D, anti-codon, and T loops). The record is from RNAcentral. Lineage: Eukaryota; Metazoa; Mollusca; Bivalvia; Lucinida; Lucinidae.
GGAAAAAUAGAUUAAGAAGAUCGUUGGGUUCAUGCCCCAAAAGUGGAGGUUUCUAUACCUUUUUUUCUU